RNAcentral lists this long non-coding RNA (526 nucleotides) under Mytilus galloprovincialis (Mediterranean mussel). Lineage: Eukaryota; Metazoa; Mollusca; Bivalvia; Mytilida; Mytilidae. The record is from RNAcentral.
CCCAACAGUUUUGUCGUCUAAAUGUGCUUUUAAGUCUAAAUGAACACAUUGUUUGAACUCUUCUAAUAACAUCAAUUGUCUUAGGUUAUCAAAAUUGUUGUCUGUUUUCUUUGAAGUAAGCCAUUUGUCAAAUAGAUCUUCUUUUUCCCGAGCAAAUUCCACAUAGGUUUGUGAAUCAAACUUUUUAUAAGAUCUAAAUUUCUGUCUAUAUGCUUCUGGUACUAGCUCAUAAGCUUUCAAAAUUUCCUGUUUCACGGUGUCAUAAUCGGAACUUUUUUCUGAUGGAAGUGCAGAGUAUAUUUCAGCGGCCUUUCCUUCAAAAACACUUUGUAGCAUUGUAGUCCAAUAUGGCUUUGGCCAUUUCAAAUUAUUAGCAAUUUUCUCAAACUGUGGAAAAUAUUUAUCGACUGUUUUUUCACAAAAUUUUGGAACCAAACGUAUAUUUUUUGCUGCAUCAAAAUAAUCUGAUUUCGACUGGACUUUAGUGUUGCUUUCUUCUUUGACCAUUUCAAUUUUCAGUUUUUCC